Small nucleolar RNA from Cebus imitator (Panamanian white-faced capuchin), 72 nucleotides. RefSeq annotates it as small nucleolar RNA SNORD73. The record is from RefSeq and is a predicted model, not a curated record. Lineage: Eukaryota; Metazoa; Chordata; Mammalia; Primates; Cebidae. The transcript has a single exon.
AAUGAAUGAGGACAAAAUGUUUCGGUCCCAUAUGAUGCAUACUGAUCAUACCGUUAGAUUUAUCCUGACGUU